Non-coding RNA from Macaca mulatta (Rhesus monkey), 404 nucleotides. NCBI's taxonomy places the organism in Eukaryota, Metazoa, Chordata, Mammalia, Primates, Cercopithecidae. The record is from RefSeq and is a predicted model, not a curated record.
UAAUACUUUACUCUGAUUUUUUUCUUUUCCAGCAUGGUACAGUUGACAAUGGAGCUUUAGGUGAUGGUUGAGCCACAAGGUGGAAGGAUUCUGGGCCUCUAAAUCACCAGAAACUGCCAAACCUACAAGGAUACUUUGUUUGGGCUAUUUUGGACCAAGAUCCUUGACUUGACACUCUAGAUCAGUUGGAGAAAGAAAAAAACUCCAAUUGCACAUGUGUUAGACCACCCAAUAUAUUCUCACAGAUAGUUUGGUAUGCAAAUGGUGUUUGCUUUCACAUCAUUCUUGAUACUCGUCAUCCCUGAAGAACAGGAGCCAGGAGUAGAGCAUGCCUUUGGAGGUGAUGGUGGACUUUUGGCCUUAAUUUCUUCCUAAAUCAAAGGUAUAAUAUAACCAAUAUACAU